AUCAGCUGGUGCAGGGUACGGUGGCCCAGCAGUCCAAAUCACAGAUCGUGACCAAGGAAGUAUGCGGGUUGGAAAAUGAGCAGACCCUUGGAGGUCUUGAUGUGUUAGCCAAUAUGGUUUCAACUGAUCUCCUGCUCCUGAGUAUCUGGGACUACAGGUGUGGACCACCAUGCUCAUUCUCUACGACUUCCAGUAUGAUGUUGACUAGGAAUGAUGAGAACAGACAUGUUUGCCUUUUUCUGGAUUUUGGUGAAGAAGCUUCCAGUUUCUUACAAGUUGCAUCCAUGCGCAUGUAUGUGGUGCUGGGGAUGGAACCCAGUGCCUUGCACAUGCCAGGCAAGUGCUCUACCACUGAGCUACACCUCAGCCCCCGUGUUGGCAACAAGUAAUUGUUGGAAAAAUCCAUGUGUCAAGGAACUGAAGGGUAUUAUCAAGCAGGAAACUGAGGCUUUCAGCCCAACAGUCUUUGAGGAAUCAAAAUCUGCCAGUUAUGAGAUGACCUUGGAAGUGGACCCUGCCUUUGUCAAGCCUUUUGAUGAGGCCCCGGCCCUAGAUGACAUCUUGAUUGCAGCCUUGUGAGAGACCAUGAAGAAGAGCACCCAGCCAAACUAUGCUUAGAUUUCUGACUAUGACCAUAAAAAAUUAUGGUUGUCAGCCACCAAAUUUGUGGUCAUUUGUUACUCAGUAAUAGGUAACUAAUACAGUAACCAUCUUAUAUAUAAGUUCCUCUAAUCAUCUUUUCUCUUCUAUAUUUCCCAUAACUGCAUUUUCCCUCCCUUGAGCCAACCCUGAAUUGCCUCACUGUCUCCAAAACCUUUCCAUUACACUCUCUGGAAACGUCACUGUAUAGUUAAGAAGCUCCCCUAUAGGUUAUAAAAUAUUUGAGUGAACAGAGAGACAUACCUGGUUUCUCGAUGGCCAGCCUCAAUAUUUAUAAAAAAUGUUAAUACUCUACAAAUUAAUUUAUACAUUUAAUGCAACUCAAUUUUAGAUGACAUUACAUUUCUAAUUAAUUGUAUCCCUUUAAAAGAAUAAGCAUCCAGAAAUAACCAGUAGAAUUCUAAAAAUGAGUAAUGACUAACAACCAGUAUUACUACUUAUUAAAAGACAUUAUGAGGCUAUAUUAACUAAAACACAGUGGUACUGGCUCAAAACUGACAACUAGAUUGAUGGAAUACAGUAGAAUGUUCAGAAAAAAUUAGAUCCAUGGAAAAUUUAGUAUAUUGCAAAUGACAUUUUAAUUUAUUCAUGGAAAGAUGGAUUGUGCAAUAAAU
This is a long non-coding RNA of Heterocephalus glaber (naked mole-rat), 1274 nucleotides long. The record is from Ensembl. Lineage: Eukaryota; Metazoa; Chordata; Mammalia; Rodentia; Bathyergidae.